UGAGGAAUAUUGGUCAAUGGGCGCAAGCCUGAACCAGCCAUCCCGCGUGAAGGAUGAAGGCUCUAGUAGUUGUAAACUUCUUUUAUAUGGGAAGAAACCUGAGUACGUGUACCCAGUUGACGGUACCAUAUGAAUAAGCAUCGGCUAACUCCGUGCCAGCAGCCGCGGUAAUACGGAGGAUGCAAGCGUUAUCCGGAUUUAUUGGGUUUAAAGGGUCCGCAGGCGGGGUCAUAAGUCAGUGGUGAAAUCCUGCAGCUUAACUGUAGAACUGCCAUUGAUACUGUGACUCUUGAAUAUGGUUGACGUGGGCGGAAUAUGACAUGUAGCGGUGAAAUGCAUAGAUAUGUCAUAGAACACCAAUUGCGAAGGCAGCUCACGAAACCAUUAUUGACGCUCAGGGACGAAAGCGUGGGUAGCGAACAGG
Molecule: ribosomal RNA, 424 nt
Filed under: uncultured bacterium
Lineage: Bacteria
Description: bacterial SSU rRNA
Rfam family: Bacterial small subunit ribosomal RNA
Source: RNAcentral